GUGAACGCUGGCGGUAGGCCUAACACAUGCAAGUCGAACGGCAGCACAGUAAGAGCUUGCUCUUACGGGUGGCGAGUGGCGGACUGGUGAGGAAUACAUCGGAAUCUACUUUUUCGUGGGGGAUAACGUAGGGAAACUUACGCUAAUACCGCAUACGACCUACGGGUGAAAGCCGGGGAUCUUCGGACCUUGCGCGAUUGAAUGAGCCGAUGUCGGAUUAGCUAGUUGGCGGGGUAAAGGCCCACCAAGGCGACGAUCCGUAGCUGGUCUGAGAGGAUGAUCAGCCACACUGGAACUGAGACACGGUCCAGACUCCUACGGGAGGCAGCAGUGGGGAAUAUUGGACAAUGGGCGCAAGCCUGAUCCAGCCAUACCGCGUGGGUGAAGAAGGCCUUCGGGUUGUAAAGCCCUUUUGUUGGGAAAGAAAAGCAGCAGGUUAAUACCCCGCUGUUCUGACGGUACCCAAAGAAUAAGCACCGGCUAACUUCGUG
Molecule: ribosomal RNA, 491 nt
Filed under: uncultured bacterium
Lineage: Bacteria
Description: partial 16S ribosomal RNA
Rfam family: Bacterial small subunit ribosomal RNA
Source: RNAcentral